This 433-nucleotide ribosomal RNA is filed under the name uncultured bacterium. Its description in RNAcentral is "partial 16S ribosomal RNA". It matches the Rfam family "Bacterial small subunit ribosomal RNA", at positions 29 to 507 of the family's 1533-position model. The record is from RNAcentral.
AGCGAACGCUGGCGGCAGGCCUAACACAUGCAAGACGAACGGAUCCUUCGGGAUUAGUGGCGGACGGGUGAGUAACACGUGGGAACGUGCCCUUUGGUUCGGAACAACUCAGGGAAACUUGAGCUAAUACCGGAUGUGCCCUUCGGGGGAAAGAUUUAUCGCCAUUGGAGCGGCCCGCGUCUGAUUAGCUAGUUGGUGAGGUAACGGCCCACCAAGGCGACGAUCAGUAGCUGGUCUGAGAGGAUGAUCAGCCACACUGGGACUGAGACACGGCCCAGACUCCUACGGGAGGCAGCAGUGGGGAAUCUUGCGCAAUGGGCGAAAGCCUGACGCAGCCAUGCCGCGUGAAUGAUGAAGGUCUUAGGAUUGUAAAAUUCUUUCAGCGGGGACGAUAAUGACGGUACCCGCAGAAGAAGCUCCGGCUAACUUCGUG